GCAUAUUACUAAGCGGAGGAAAAGAAACUAACCAGGAUUCCCCCAGUAGCGGCGAGCGAACAGGGAAAAGCCCAGCGCCGAAGCCCGCGGUCGACACCGGCCGCCGGGCAAUGUGGCGUUCGGGAGGAUCCGUUUACCCGGACCCGCGCGGUCAGUCCAAGUCCUUCUUGAACGGGGCCACACUCCCAGAGAGGGUGCCAGGCCCGUAGCGACGAUCGCCGAGUUCGGGUGGAUCUCUCCUUAGAGUCGGGUUGCUUGAGAGUGCAGCCCUAAGCGGGUGGUAAACUCCAUCUAAGGCUAAAUACGACCACGAGACCGAUAGCGAACAAGUACCGUGAGGGAAAGUUGAAAAGCACUAGACCAAGUCUCUGCUACCGUAAGUACUCUA
RNAcentral lists this ribosomal RNA (388 nucleotides) under Hydrocanthus iricolor. Its description in RNAcentral is "eukaryotic LSU rRNA". It matches the Rfam family "Eukaryotic large subunit ribosomal RNA", at positions 38 to 418 of the family's 3401-position model. The record is from RNAcentral. Lineage: Eukaryota; Metazoa; Arthropoda; Insecta; Coleoptera; Noteridae.